This 253-nucleotide ribosomal RNA is filed under the name uncultured bacterium. RNAcentral describes it as "partial 16S ribosomal RNA". It matches the Rfam family "Bacterial small subunit ribosomal RNA", at positions 524 to 776 of the family's 1533-position model. The record is from RNAcentral.
UACGUAGGGUGCGAGCGUUAAUCGGAAUUACUGGGCGUAAAGCGUGCGCAGGCGGUUCGUUAUGUCCGUUGUGAAAGCCCCGGGCUCAACCUGGGAAUGGCAAUGGAAACUGGCGGGCUAGAGUGUGGCAGAGGGGGGUGGAAUUCCGCGUGUAGCAGUGAAAUGCGUAGAGAUGCGGAGGAACACCGAUGGCGAAGGCAGCCCCCUGGGCUAGCACUGACGCUCAUGCACGAAAGCGUGGGGAGCAAACAGG